UAGGGAAUCUUCCGCAAUGGACGCAAGUCUGACGGAGCAACGCCGCGUGAGUGAAGAAGGAUUUCGGUUCGUAAAACUCUGUUAUUAGAGAAGAACAGCGCAUAGAGUAACUGUUAUGCGUGUGACGGUAUCUAACCAGAAAGCCACGGCUAACUACGUGCCAGCAGCCGCGGUAAUACGUAGGUGGCAAGCGUUGUCCGGAUUUAUUGGGCGUAAAGCGAGCGCAGGCGGUCAAUUAAGUCUGAUGUGAAAGCCCCCGGCUCAACCGGGGAGGGUCAUUGGAAACUGGUUGACUUGAGUGCAGAAGAGGAGAGUGGAAUUCCAUGUGUAACGGUGAAAUGCGUAGAUAUAUGGAGGAACACCAGUGGCGAAGGCGACUCUCUGGUCUGUAACUGACGCUGAGGCUCGAAAGCGUGGGUAGCAAACAGG
RNAcentral lists this ribosomal RNA (429 nucleotides) under Bacteroidota bacterium. RNAcentral's name for it is "Bacteroidetes bacterium partial 16S ribosomal RNA". It matches the Rfam family "Bacterial small subunit ribosomal RNA", at positions 355 to 776 of the family's 1533-position model. The record is from RNAcentral. Lineage: Bacteria; Pseudomonadati; Bacteroidota.